Molecule: ribosomal RNA, 301 nt
Filed under: uncultured bacterium
Lineage: Bacteria
Description: partial 16S ribosomal RNA
Rfam family: Bacterial small subunit ribosomal RNA
Source: RNAcentral
CAGUAGCCGCGGGAAUACGGAGGGGGCUAGCGUUGUUCGGAAUUACUGGGCGUAAAGCGCACGUAGGCGGCUUGGUAAGUUAGAGGUGAAAGCCUGGAGCUCAACCCCGGAACUGCCUUUGAAACUAGGUGACUAGAAUCUUGGAGAGGUCAGUGGAAUUCUCGGUGUAGCAGUGAAAUGCGUGGAUAUCGAGAGGAACACUCGUGGCGAAGGCGAGUCACUGGACAACAUCUGACGCUGAGGCUCGAAGGCUAGGGUAGCGAAAGGGAUUAGAUACCCCCGUAGUCCCUGUCUCUUAUAC